Molecule: long non-coding RNA, 1915 nt
Organism: Oncorhynchus keta (chum salmon)
Lineage: Eukaryota; Metazoa; Chordata; Actinopteri; Salmoniformes; Salmonidae
Exons: 5
Source: RefSeq, a predicted model, not a curated record
AGGAAACAAACACCAGGUGAGGUCUACAGAGGAAACAAACACCAGGUGAGGUCUACAGGGGAAACAAACACCAGGUGAGGCCUACAGAGGAAACAAACACCAGGUGAGGUCUACAGAGGAAACAAACACCAGGUGAGGUCUACAGAGGAAACAAACACCAGGUGAGGUCUACAGAGGAAACAAACACCAGGUGAGGUCUACAGAGGAAACAAACACCAGGUGAGGUCUACAGAGGAAACAAACACCAGGUGAGGUCUACAGAGGAAACAAACACCAGGUGAGGUCUACAGAGGAAACAAACACCAGGUGAGGUCUACAGAGGAAACAAACACCAGGUGAGGUCUACAGAGGAAACAAACACCAGGUGAGGCCUACAGAGGAAACAAACACCAGGUGAGGCCUACAGAGGAAACAAACACCAGGUGAGGCCUACAGAGGAAACAAACACCAGGUGAGGUCUACAGAGGAAACAAACACCAGGUGAGGCCUACAGAGGAAACAAACACCAGGUGAGGUCUACAGAGGAAACAAACACCAGGUGAGGUCUACAGAGGAAACAAACACCAGGUGAGGUCUACAGAGGAAACAAACACCAGGUGAGGUCUACAGAGGAAACAAACACCAGGUGAGGCCUACAGAGGAAACAAACACCAGGUGAGGUCUACAGAGGAAACAAACACCAGGUGAGGCCUACAGAGGAAACAAACACCAGGUGAGGUCUACAGAGGAAACAAACACCAGGUGAGGCCUACAGAGGAAACAAACACCAGGUGAGGUCUACAGAGGAAACAAACACCAGGUGAGGCCUACAGAGGAAACAAACACCAGGUGAGGUCUACAGAGGAAACAAACACCAGGUGAGGCCUACAGAGGAAACAAACACCAGGUGAGGUCUACAGAGGAAACAAACACCAGGUGAGGUCUACAGAGGAAACAAACACCAGGUGAGGCCUACAGAGGAAACAAACACCAGGUGAGGCCUACAGAGGAAACAAACACCAGGUGAGGCCUACAGAUGGCAGGAACACCAGGUGAGGUCUACAGAUGGCAGGAACACCAGGUGAGGUCUACAGAUGGCAGGAACACCAGGUGAGGUCUACAGAUGGCAGGAACACCAGGUGAGGCCUACAGAUGGCAGGAACACCAGGUGAGGCCUACAGAUGGCAGGAACACCAGGUGAGGCCUACAGAUGGCAGGAACACCAGGUGAGGCCUACAGAUGGCAGGAACACCAGGUGAGGCCUACAGAUGGCAGGAACACCAGGUGAGGCCUACAGAUGGCAGGAACACCAGGUGAGGCCUACAGAUGGCAGGAACACCAGGUGAGGCCUACAGAUGGCAGGAACAUCAGGUGAGGCCUACAGAUGGCAGGAACACCAGGUGAGGCCUACAGACGGCAGGAACACCAGGUGAGGCCUACAGACGGCAGGGUUAGAGGAGAAACAGUGUUGGGAAAUAUCCCCAAAUCCUUUGAACUAGAUUAUUAGAUUACUCAAUUAACUAAAUGAACUCAGAGUAAUUGUUUUAGAAUUUAAAAUGUGUUUAAAAUCCAACAAGGUCCAAAAGCCAGAAACAACCUGUAUCCUAGCUAGAGGAUGUUAUCAGACAUGUCUGUCGUUUUCAGAACAUCCUGUUUUUUAAAGAUGUGGUCGUUUCUGGGCCUGGCUAAACAUAUUUCCCAGGGUGACUUGGGCCCCUCCACCCAGAUUACAUAAAGAGGUGUGAGCAUGGGAGUAGCUGAGGCCCGUCCACCCAGAUUACAUAAAGAGGUGUGAGCAUGGGAGCAGCUGGGGCCCCUCCACCCAGAUUACAUAAAGAGGUGUGAGCAUGGGAGCAGGGGGGGCCCUCCACCCAGAUUACAUAAAGAGGUGUGAGCAUGGGAGCCCCUCCACCCAGAUUACAUAAAGAGGUGAGAG